This 394-nucleotide ribosomal RNA is filed under the name uncultured bacterium. RNAcentral's name for it is "bacterial SSU rRNA". It matches the Rfam family "Bacterial small subunit ribosomal RNA", at positions 27 to 420 of the family's 1533-position model. The record is from RNAcentral.
GGGCGCGGGAAGUCGAUUCAGGCCUAACACAUGCAAGUCGAGCGGUAGAGAGAAGCUUGCUUCUCUUGAGAGAGGCGGACGGGUGAGUAAUGCCUAGGAAUCUGCCUGGUAGUGGGGGAUAACGUUCGGAAACGGACGCUAAUACCGCAUACGUCCUACGGGAGAAAGCAGGGGACCUUCGGGCCUUGCGCUAUCAGAUGAGCCUAGGUCGGAUUAGCUAGUUGGUGAGGUAAUGGCUCACCAAGGCGACGAUCCGUAACUGGUCUGAGAGGAUGAUCAGUCACACUGGAACUGAGACACGGUCCAGACUCCUACGGGAGGCAGCAGUGGGGAAUAUUGGACAAUGGGCGAAAGCCUGAUCCUUCAGAGGCCGCGUGUGUGAAGAAGGUCUUCG